UGCAAAUNGCCAGUCGGUGGAUGCCAAAGC
Molecule: non-coding RNA, 30 nt
Filed under: Rattus norvegicus (Norway rat)
Lineage: Eukaryota; Metazoa; Chordata; Mammalia; Rodentia; Muridae
Source: RNAcentral